RNAcentral lists this non-coding RNA (169 nucleotides) under uncultured Anaerosacchariphilus sp. RNAcentral's name for it is "Lysine riboswitch". It matches the Rfam family "Lysine riboswitch aptamer". From Rfam's summary of the family: Riboswitches are metabolite binding domains within certain messenger RNAs that serve as precision sensors for their corresponding targets. Allosteric rearrangement of mRNA structure is mediated by ligand binding, and this results in modulation of gene expression. Lineage: Bacteria; Bacillati; Bacillota; Clostridia; Lachnospirales; Lachnospiraceae. The record is from RNAcentral.
AAAGAUAGAGGUUGCGUUUUCCAUCAGUACCUUUUCGGAUAUGGCAGGCAUAGACGAAGAAGAGGGAAAGGGGGCGACGCCGAAAGAGAUUGUUUCCUGUGAGUAGUUUCUUGGGCAUACCGUGAAGAACGAUAUGACUGUCAUCAGUUUCUGAUGGGGCGCUAUCCGG